UCCGAGCCUCCCCUCCAUCUGAGGGGCAUCGUCUCGGGUGCCCAUGCCCGCUCAGUGUGCCAUAUGGGAACUUGCGCCCGCCUCCACCACCCCCCAAAACCCAACCGUGCCCCCCCUUCCUCCGCCACUUUUUUUCUUUGCUCCCCUUCAUGGCGUCUUUCUCUUCACGCUGUUGCUUUCUUUUUAGGUUUGUUUUGUUUUUCAAGCCCAUUUCUUUUUUAAGGAAUAGUCAGAUGUUGAUGGCCUUGUUGGAAUGGACCAUUAACUAAGUGCCUAGCCACCAGUGCUCUGUCCUCCGCUAGACACACAGCCAUGUUAUUUCACAGAAGCCUUGACAGGAGACGAAAACGGCUGAGACUCCUCCAGCCGUAACCUGCAAAGCCCAACCAAAAGCGAACAUAAUGGAUAAUUCCUUCAGCUUGACCAAGGGAAAAAAAGUUUAAAAGUAAAAAAAAAAAAGAAAGAAAAGAAAAAAA
Clupea harengus (Atlantic herring) is the source of this 476-nucleotide long non-coding RNA. The record is from Ensembl. Lineage: Eukaryota; Metazoa; Chordata; Actinopteri; Clupeiformes; Clupeidae.